Molecule: long non-coding RNA, 3450 nt
Organism: Puntigrus tetrazona (Sumatra barb)
Lineage: Eukaryota; Metazoa; Chordata; Actinopteri; Cypriniformes; Cyprinidae
Exons: 2
Source: RefSeq, a predicted model, not a curated record
UGAGGAAUCCGCAUAGAAAAAGUCAGGAGUGACAGAUCGCCCAGAGUGGGUGACAGCUUUACAGAGCGCUCAGACGACGACGGAGUCAAGCAGCCCCCCUUCUUACAGUUGCCAUCUUACAAAGCUUUAUUAUAGGCUCUUAACACCGUGUCCACACUUGCAAAAGAGCGACACGGCGCUACAAAACUUCAAGCUAAUCAGUAUAACAGCAGUCGAUUAUAACGGUCGCUUUCUAUUUUUGUCGCGUCGCGUGAGAUUAUUACGUAAUUACGCACUUGUGGCGGUUCCCAAGAGCGUAUACAAAUAUAUAGAUAUCGCGCGUGUUCGCUUCGACCAGUAACUUUAAAUCGCGCGACUUUCGUUAAGUUGAAAUACAUUACAAAGUUACCGAUGACACGGCAAGUAUCAGUCGGAGUGGAGAAGGCAUCCUUUCUGGACAUCUAUACAUUUUCUCACAAAGUAUAUUUCUGCUGUCAGCGCUGGAGGAAACGUCACGGGCGUGCACGCGAAGAAGUUUCAAAAGAAAGUUCGUCGGGCGGAUCUUUCUUAGAAAUGCAUACUGAUUGUAACUUAGGCUGGCACCAAGUCUGAUGACUUUUCCCAGAAGAUUCAGUCGAGACAUAGAGAGAGGGGGCAGAAAGAGAGCUUUCUUGUCCAAUAGGAGGCAAGGGGGCUGAAGAAUGUGAAAAGCUCCCAUUCAGGCCGGUUCACAGGGGCUGGGAGCGGCCACAUCCUCAGGAGGGAGGAGGGGUUGCUGCUUUCAGGAGGGUGGGCUAGGGAUCCUGGACAGGGGCCAGGAGCGAUGCAGAGGCUCCUCGGAUGACGCUGGUCCGUGGGAGCGUCCAGUGCCUCCGCCUCUCCUCUGUCCCUUAGGACACAGACUCUGGACCCCUUGCUUUCUAUUUACUCGCACAAACAACCUCUCCCCACAGUCCUUCUACCCUCAGAGCAGAAGCAGCCAGUAGGCUGCAGGAUGAGGAAUGCGUCUCUAUUAAUAGAGCAGUUAGAUUAUCUCGAAGACUAAUGACUGGCAUGUCCAGAUUCUUGAAAGUCAUGGUAGUGACGUACUUUCAUCCACCGGUCUUCAUGAUCUCAUUUCUUAUGAUAUUUUCUGAACGUAGUGGCUCUCUUUUUAAAACAGUUUAUAUUCUACUUGCACAGUUUUAUUCUCACUUAUAGUUAAUAAAAGCAUUUAAAGCGACUGCAAAAAAAACGGUCUUGUUUACAGCUAAAAUAUCUAGAACUUAAAUCAAGUAAAAAUUUUGACUUGUUUUCAGAAAAAAACUAAUAAAAUUGAAGCAAAUUUUUCCUCAGAAAAAGCUAAAUAAUUGUAUUUUAAAGAUGAUAAUUUUUACUUACCCUGUUGGCAGAUUAUGUUUCUUGUUUCAAGUAAAAACAUUGCAUUUUGAUUUGUUAUUUUCUGAAAACAAAACCGUAAUGUUUAUUUGUGUAGAAAAUCUUCCUUGACUUAAGAAUAUAAAUAAAAUAAAAAAAAAAAAAUUAUCUGGAAAAAAUCUUGCUUGCAGUGAUUUCAAAUGCAAGUAAAUACAGAAGUAAAAAAAAAAAAUUAAAUGUUUUUACUUAUUUAUGUUUUAUUUAUUUAAAAAUACCAGUUAGCACAUUUAGUCAAACUAGAAAUAAAAAAAGGUAAACUCAAAACUAAAUAAAACUUUAAAAACAAAACCAUGUUUAAAAACAUUAAAACUAAGAACUAAAAUAAAUAGGGGGGAAAAAACUCAAUUCUAAAUAAUAGCCUGCUUAAGCAAAGUGUUUGUAUUUGUAUUAAUUGUAAUGCGAUAUUCGGGUAUUCUUGGGUCAAGAAGUUCUUUCCUAAGCCAUGGCCAGAUCUGACUUGUGAGCCUAUAUGAGCUUCAGGGAGUGUAAACAUCCUACACUCUCAGCUGGAGCCCAGCCUGAGGCCGGGAGUGGGAUGUUUGCGCUCUCUGGCUCAGGAACGCCACUCUCACUGCGGCUGCGCUACGGAGGGGAGCAGCUUAUUCAGAAAAAGUCGUCUAGAUGUUCUAAUCAUCUACUGAGUAGACGGUAGACCUGAAAUUACACCUGACCGCUUUGUUGGAACGUACACUGGAACUAGUCACCGGGGUAGGUAGCGAUCACCUAACUAUCUUUCUAAACGUAUGUUCACUGUGUGAAAAGUAUGUUAAAAAGCUCAGGAUAAAAGAAGACGGCUACUUCCUGGACCUUGUGGAUAGAUUUGGAAGUGGAUACGAGAGCUUUGUAACGCACACAGGAAGUGAACUCCAUUGUGAGCUUGGAAAGGGCUCUGAGGGUGAGUGGCCUGUCAUUAAGCUGCUCAGGGCAGACUGAACUCUAGGUCUCUUUGAAGCUUUCUGACCCCACAGGGUGGGACAACGUUGUUAAACUGCAAGCGCCCCCACCCAGACAGAGCUGCCGAUGGAAUUGCCUGAGAGGAAGUGACUAUUUAUACCCGCUAAGGAACAGAGAGGCACCCUUCCGAUGGGCGUCUCUCCACUUGCUUCCUUUGACAAAUACGUUAGGACUGCUCUCAUGAAAGCUAACCCUAACUCCACAAAGACAUGCACAACAUCCAGUGCUCUCAAUGGUAUUUGUGUACACGCCUAACCGUGUUUUGGUUACCAUUCUCUCCUGCAAUGACCUUUACCCACUUUUGCUUGGUGAUGUCAUAGCUCAAGCAUCUCUUAUAUGUGGCCACUAGGUGGAAGACUAGCUCCAGGAAAUUCCUACUAGCUGAAAGACUGCUUGGGAAGCAAGUACACAAAAAUUUCAAUUAUCCACUACAAAAUUUUAAGCAUCUUCUUAUUAAGUAUGUGCCUCCAAUUCAACAACACCAAACCAGAAAAAAAAAUUAUAUAUAUAUAUAUAUAUAUAUAUAUAUAUAUAUAUAUAUAUAUAUAUAUAUAUAUAAAACAAUCCUGUAAUUAUUUUUUUAAAUAUAUAUUUUGCUGGUAUUUACUUUUUUUUUCUUUCACAAUAUCUAUGUGCAAAAGUAAUCUCUGUUGUACUUUGCCUAAAACCAAAGUGAAAAGAGUUCAGUCACAUUUUCACCUCAAAGUGCGUCUCCCUGCUCUGUGUUGGAAAUUAAAAAACAGAGACGUUUCAGUCAACUGACAGCCUCUGCUCAAGCUUUUCCCGUCAACUGGAACAAUCAAAACUGAAGUAUGACAACAAAAGCAUCACUCAUCAUUAGUUUGACUAUUUUCCUUCUUUGAACUGACUAAUUCUUCUUAUAAUGCCUUAUAAGGCCUUUUCAUCUAACUGCAUGAGAGCUACUGAAUUUACACCAAGUUCCUUUCAAAUGUUUCAAACAAUAAUCUUGCCCCACAGGUGGCACAGCAACAGGAAGAAAGAAAUUGGUAUGUAUGUGCGUUAUGUGUAAAGUAAAAACAUCAGGAGAUUGUUCUGUGAAUGUUGUUUCUUCUUUGCUUAAUAAACCAUAAACAGAUGACA